Molecule: long non-coding RNA, 271 nt
Organism: Grammomys surdaster
Lineage: Eukaryota; Metazoa; Chordata; Mammalia; Rodentia; Muridae
Exons: 3
Source: RefSeq, a predicted model, not a curated record
GAUGGCUGAGCAAGGCCAGACAUGUUCCUUUCAGUACUUGUGACUGAACUCAGACUCUUGUGGAUACUAGACAGUUUUUCUGCCAUGGGACUGCAUCUCCGGCAAGUGCUGAAGGUGUUAAAAUAUUCACCACGACCACACUGCUUCGCAUAACCGAACAAUGAGCUUUGAACUUCUCUGAAACUUGGAAAGUAAAAGGGGGUCUAGCUCUCAAGAGGAUAUGCUCUUCUUCGACACCUGAUCAUCUACAUACAAGAAGGUCAAGACAGGC